UUAAAUAGAGCUUCAUUUUGAGGCAUUCAUUCAUUCAUCAGAAAGAAAAACAAAACUAAGAAGUAGAAAGAAAGAAAGAUUGUCGACUUCAUUAUGGGCAAGAGUAUUAAGAUUUUCUUCCUAUUCAUUGUUCUGCUAUUUGUCUCCACUGCCCUCACAAGUGGGUCGACGCUUUUAUGUAAGAAAGGUGAAGUUAAGACACAAAUGCUAUACAUCCGAUGUGGUCUUUCAUGUAAGCAGAUAUGUGCAUCCAAUAAGCAAUGCCGAAAUACUGGUUGCGAAAAAGUUUCAUUUUCUCCUGAUGAGCCUGCAUCUGAUCAAUGUGUCAUAUGCCAGACUACAAAAAAGCAAGGCUUAAACGCCAUAGUCGUUUAACUGCUAGUUAGUUGCUUCCUUUCGGUCGUGUUUUGCUUGUAAUUUUGAAGAUUCCUGUGUUACAUUAAUAAAGUAUCUUGUUUCGGUUUCAUUAA
This is a long non-coding RNA of Papaver somniferum (opium poppy), 470 nucleotides long. RefSeq lists it as uncharacterized. NCBI's taxonomy places the organism in Eukaryota, Viridiplantae, Streptophyta, Magnoliopsida, Ranunculales, Papaveraceae. The transcript has 2 exons. The record is from RefSeq and is a predicted model, not a curated record.